RNAcentral lists this ribosomal RNA (1131 nucleotides) under Staphylococcus sp. PGO10. Its description in RNAcentral is "bacterial SSU rRNA". It matches the Rfam family "Bacterial small subunit ribosomal RNA", at positions 34 to 1154 of the family's 1533-position model. Lineage: Bacteria; Bacillati; Bacillota; Bacilli; Caryophanales; Staphylococcaceae. The record is from RNAcentral.
GGCUGACGCAUGCGUAUACAUGCAAGUCGAGCGAACAGAUAAGGAGCUUGCUCCUUUGACGUUAGCGGCGGACGGGUGAGUAACACGUGGGUAACCUACCUAUAAGACUGGGAUAACUUCGGGAAACCGGAGCUAAUACCGGAUAACAUUUGGAACCGCAUGGUUCUAAAGUGAAAGAUGGUUUUGCUAUCACUUAUAGAUGGACCCGCGCCGUAUUAGCUAGUUGGUAAGGUAACGGCUUACCAAGGCGACGAUACGUAGCCGACCUGAGAGGGUGAUCGGCCACACUGGAACUGAGACACGGUCCAGACUCCUACGGGAGGCAGCAGUAGGGAAUCUUCCGCAAUGGGCGAAAGCCUGACGGAGCAACGCCGCGUGAGUGAUGAAGGGUUUCGGCUCGUAAAACUCUGUUAUUAGGGAAGAACAAACGUGUAAGUAACUGUGCACGUCUUGACGGUACCUAAUCAGAAAGCCACGGCUAACUACGUGCCAGCAGCCGCGGUAAUACGUAGGUGGCAAGCGUUAUCCGGAAUUAUUGGGCGUAAAGCGCGCGUAGGCGGUUUCUUAAGUCUGAUGUGAAAGCCCACGGCUCAACCGUGGAGGGUCAUUGGAAACUGGGAAACUUGAGUGCAGAAGAGGAAAGUGGAAUUCCAUGUGUAGCGGUGAAAUGCGCAGAGAUAUGGAGGAACACCAGUGGCGAAGGCGACUUUCUGGUCUGUAACUGACGCUGAUGUGCGAAAGCGUGGGGAUCAAACAGGAUUAGAUACCCUGGUAGUCCACGCCGUAAACGAUGAGUGCUAAGUGUUAGGGGGUUUCCGCCCCUUAGUGCUGCAGCUAACGCAUUAAGCACUCCGCCUGGGGAGUACGACCGCAAGGUUGAAACUCAAAGGAAUUGACGGGGACCCGCACAAGCGGUGGAGCAUGUGGUUUAAUUCGAAGCAACGCGAAGAACCUUACCAAAUCUUGACAUCCUUUGAAACUCUAGAGAUAGAGCCUUCCCCUUCGGGGACAAAGUGACAGUGUGCAUGAUGUCGUCAGCUCGUGUCGUGAGAUGUUGGGUUAAGUCCCGCACGAGCGCAACCCUUAAGCUUAGUUGCCAUCAUUAAGUUGGGCACCCUAGGUUGACUGCCG